Molecule: transfer RNA, 75 nt
Filed under: Klebsiella pneumoniae
Lineage: Bacteria; Pseudomonadati; Pseudomonadota; Gammaproteobacteria; Enterobacterales; Enterobacteriaceae
Description: tRNA-Ser
Rfam family: tRNA
About the family: Transfer RNA (tRNA) molecules are approximately 80 nucleotides in length. Their secondary structure includes four short double-helical elements and three loops (D, anti-codon, and T loops).
Source: RNAcentral
GGUGAGGUGUCCGAGUGGCUGAAGGAGCACGCCUGGAAAGUGUGUAUACGGUAACGUCGAAUCCCCUCACCGCCA